GUUUGAUCAUGGCUCAGGAUGAACGCUAGCGGCAGGCCUAACACAUGCAAGUCGAGGGGCAGCACGGGUAGCAAUACUUGGUGGCGACCGGCGCACGGGUGAGUAACGCGUAUGCAACCUACCCUAUACAGGGGGAUAGCUCAGUGAAAACUGAAUUAAUACCCCAUAAAGCAGGGGUACCGCAUGGUACUAUUUGCUAAAGAUUUAUCGGUAUAGGAUGGGCAUGCGUGCCAUUAGCUAGUUGGUAGGGUAACGGCCUACCAAGGCGACGAUGGUUAGGGGGUCUGAGAGGAUGGUCCCCCACACUGGUACUGAGACACGGACCAGACUCCUACGGGAGGCAGCAGUGAGGAAUAUUGGUCAAUGGGCGAGAGCCUGAACCAGCCAUGCCGCGUGCAGGAAGACGGCCCUAAGGGUUGUAAACUGCUUUUAUACGGGGGUAAUUUUCGGUUUGCGAACCGAAUUGAAAGUACUGUAAGAAUAAGCGUCGGCUAACUACGUGCCAGCAGCCGCGGUAAUACGUAGGACGCGAGCGUUAUCCGGAUUUAUUGGGUUUAAAGGGUGCGUAGGCGGACCUAUAAGUCAGUGGUGAAAGACUGUUGCUUAACGAUAGCAUUGCCAUUGAUACUGUAGGUCUUGAGUACAGUUGAGGUAGGCGGAAUGUGUAGUGUAGCGGUGAAAUGCUUAGAUAUUACACAGAACACCGAUUGCGGAGGCAGCUUACUAAGCUGUAACUGACGCUGAUGCACGAAAGCGUGGGGAUCAAACAGGAUUAGAUACCCUGGUAGUCCACGCUGUAAACGAUGAUCACUGGUUGUUAGCGAUACACAGUUAGCGACUGAGCGAAAGCAUUAAGUGAUCCACCUGGGGAGUACGUCGG
This 880-nucleotide ribosomal RNA is filed under the name uncultured bacterium. RNAcentral's name for it is "bacterial SSU rRNA". It matches the Rfam family "Bacterial small subunit ribosomal RNA", at positions 11 to 888 of the family's 1533-position model. The record is from RNAcentral.